UAAUAAUGAGGAGUAAUGGAUUGCUUGAGAGAGUUGGAUAAGGUCGUGGUUAGCAGGCUCCUCAUCUUCCUGGACUACUUCAGCAAUACCAACACAAAAUAUGCCAUAUGCGAUGGCAGUGACAGGCAACUGUUGCUCGCCGUCCAGGACAACAGCUUCGCCAGCCUGUUCCUUCCGAAUGCAUUUGUGACGUUUCUGGUUAUGAACACCGAUAUCCGUCAGAUACAUUGGCUCGAUCCGGAACAAGUCCUUCUCAUUGUUAAGGCAGAGUUAUCGAGUCUUGGACGCUAGAAAGAAGUUGGUGUAUAAGAUCAGAGGCCCCAUAUUCCCAGGAACUACGAGAAUCCCCUACAAUAUCUAUAAUGGCAAGGGCGUGAGAGUGGGGACCAUCACCAGAAAGCUCCGCAAAUUUCCACGAGAACUCGUAUUCGAAGGCGACAUUUUUGUGGUGACUUUUCCCAAGGACAUGUCGGUCACCGACAAGUCCCUUUUAGUGGGUGUCACUUUCUACUUAGAAGCUAUGUAUCCCCACUUGCUGGAGGACAAAUUAAGGAUAAAUUAUUAAACUGAUGGGUUGACUUGGUGGUUCAUGUUGUAAUAUUUAAAUAGAAUAUACUUUAUUUCUUGAUUUGA
This 633-nucleotide unclassified non-coding RNA is filed under the name Drosophila ananassae. Its description in RNAcentral is "GF23836". Lineage: Eukaryota; Metazoa; Arthropoda; Insecta; Diptera; Drosophilidae. The record is from RNAcentral.